UGGCCCUUCAGUCUUUGAUCCGCAGUCGGCGCGGAGUGUGUGUGCGUUACCCUCGAGCGUACUCGAGAGAUAGCCAAACGAAAUAUCGUUUCCACUGGUCGUGCGCGAGAGAAGAGGGGAGUAACACGGUGGUGCCAGUAACUUCUGACUACGCUCGACGAACGUAACGCGGGUGCACGGUUCGCCGCAAGUAUCCCUUGCGCCAAGAGUGAUCGUCACGCGACCGGGAGAUAUACCUCUCUCGACCGAUUAACGAGAGUACACUCCGUCUCGAUCGUUAUCCCGUGAUACGUUUCUUUGAGUUACCGUUUUCGAGGAUAAUCGGUUACCGAUAAAAGCGACCACGGUGUCCUUUCACCUGCACCCCUGGGGAUUUUCGUAGCACACGCUGCUCACGCUCCACCGGCACGGCACGGAUUUGCGUUCGGUUCACAACCCCCUGACCCAAUUACUCUUCCCUUACCCGUGUGCCGGCUGACAAUCAGCCGCUUGUACGGAGCUGCAAAAACACAAAUUAUCCGUGUCAUCGGGAAUGUACGUUUAGCGGUGCACCGUUGCUGAACGUUGCCGAGGAUAGUAUCCGUCAUCCGCCAGGGAAAUAACAGUAACGACGAUUUUUUCCAGUUUGUGCAGAGUGACCGAUGGGAAUUCGUCGAGAGUUCCUGUACAGUGUGUUCGCGUCGUAGAGUGCAGUGAAAAGGAUACAUUGGAUCAAUUUUAACUGUGAAAUACACUGAACUAGCACGCGUUUCGAUCACCGUCAGCUACGUUUAUACUAAACAAAUAUUCCUUUGAAUCAUUGUUAACCCCACGAAGGUUAUAUUCACUUUCAAUCGUGGAGACCGAAAUUGAUAGAUCAAUAACAAAUUUAAAAUACUGAUUACCAUCGACUCCGCGGAAAUCAUUUGAAAUUCCUUCCCAUUUGCAAAAUACUCCUCUGAAUCUUCACCGAAUUAUAUUCACCUUCAAAUCACAGAGGUUGACCAGGCGAACCAAACUGAGCCUUCAGAGUCACCAUUGAUAAACUCUAAUUAGCAAUCAUAAACGAGUACAAAUAAUCGUGUAUGAAUUUGUAUCGGCAUUGAUACAUCGUUAAUCGUCGUUGCCCCGUGACAUGCUGACAUCGUGAAGAGAAGAAGAAGGUACGGUGACCCGCUCGUGGAAGGAUUUCUAUGCGGAUCGCGGGCCGUCCGCUGGAAAUCUGACGGCCCGUCGUUCCGGUUUGCGUGGCAGCCUGUCGUUGUCGUUGCCGAGCAAGCGAAAGCAAUAUCUGGUCAAGUACAAACGUAAAGAGGAGAAGGAUAAAUCGAAGGAGGUCAGGGGUGAGAGGAAGGAGGAGCGAGGCUCCUCGUGGGCCGGACUCUUGGAGAAUAGUCGCAAGAAGGGUGCAACGGUGAAGGGUAACGGUGGAUUCGGCGAUUAUUCGGCGGCGGGAGAGUUUGAAGUUUGGGGCGAGGAGCAACACGCGUCGGAUGGUGUAGAACGACAGGUGGCGAGGCCGCCUUCGCGGCAGCAACGAUGCGAAGGCGGUUCGUCCCUGAGACCGUUGCUUCACGUCGCCCAUUGUGAACUCCAUUCGCCUCGCGAGCGCGAAUUGCUACGGCUCGAUCAUCUCGAGGCGCUCGACCACAAAACCCUCGAUCACGAUUCCUAUUCGAUGAUGGAGAACUUUCACAGCCCCGUACCACCGCCGCUGCCUCGUCGUCAUGUCCGGUAAGUCUACUGUUCGCAUGGAGUUCUUUUCUCGUGAUCGAAGAGAGUGGUAUGUACUUUUUUGUUCUUUAUAUUAUAAAGUUACAUGUAUUUGAUUUCAUUGAUUGAAAUUGUAGAUAUUAUACAUUUGUAUAUGUAUAUUAUGGUUGAGGAUCGAUGGCGAGCGAUAUCGGGAACCGUGGAACAGACGCAAAUUAAUUGGUUAUGGAAAUACGGUUUUAAGCCAUGAAAAAUGGAAUAUUAAUUAGAAUGUUUCAUUUUCUCUUGCGUUAUAUUUUUUCUGCCUUCUGGUUUAUCCAUUUUUCAAUUGAUUGCAAUUAAUGUUAGGAGAAUUUGGUUCUUUGAAUAUUUAAUUCGAAUCUCACAUAACAAUUCUAUUUCAAAUAGAAUUCGAGAGGUAGUUUAGACUUAGAUAUUGCAUUAAGUAAUUGGAGUACUAUGUCCAUCCAAACUGUUGUUUGUAGAUGAAAAUUCAAACAAUACAACAAUUUGAAUCGUUUAAUCUAAUAAUAGAUGGUUGUGAUAUUUUAGUGAUUAAAUUACUAUCCAAAUGUUAAAUAAUCAGUGUGCAAACACGUUAAUCUAAAAAUGGCAGAACGAGCGAAUAAAGUGUCCGUCUUUGAAUGUUUUAAAUUAUCCUAAAAGGUAGAAUUUUCAACAAAGAAAAAGGCGUUCUACAUUUUCAAGGACUCGUUAUUUUUAAAUUUCACAAUGCUCCGACAUCUCUUUAACCGUUCCAAAAAUGCAAUUGCGGUCUCGCGUUUGUGCAGUCUAGGUCUUCUCGCGACAACAUAUUAAGCAGCGUGAGUUGCAAAUACGAGACGCAUUAAGUAAGCGAAUAAAGUAUUCCGUUGCAUGCAUGUAACACACGUUCUGUUUCUCGUUUUCGUGCGACGUGCACCACCGCGACAUAUUUCGUAUGUAAUUCUUAUGCAAGAUUGCCGUGCGCGUCCGCUAGGGGAAAAUUAGUGACGGACCCUAGGGAUAAAAUUACUGACGACUGCUGGGGACGAAGUUAGCGAUGCCCCGUUAGGGAUGAAAUUAGAGAGGACCACCAGGGACUGGAUUAGGGAUGCAUACAGGAAACAACGUUAAUGAUGGCCAUCGAUUGUAAACGAAAACGAAUAUGAAACGAAUUUUGGCUGAAAAAUUGAAUUUUUGUAAACGAUCGAAAUUAAUCGUCCACCGACGUUUGCAAGGCUACGAAUACAAAAUCGUCCUCAAGUAUUUCGGUGUAAUCGAAGCGGAACACGUUGUUCCUCGGUUUUGGACAAAAGUCAUGACGUAUGCAAAACAAGAAGUGCAUAAUAUUUCCGGUGCCACGUGCAGGGGAAACGGCAGCACCACGAAGAGUAGUGACCGGUCGGCAGCGUCACGUCGUCGGAUCAAUAUCGGCCGGGAAUAGAAAACAGAGAGGACGAAGAGGGAAAAGCGAGGAAGGACCGUGUGUAGCUGGACAAGGAAGCGUAAACGAGGCGACGUUGCUCGACUGAUCGAAUUUUUUUUUUUCUUUUUUUUUUGGAACGGACAACUUGCACACGCCAACUCUUGACCGCGUCCAACUUUUCUCAGACUGAUCAAUUUUUCCAUGCGAUCCAGUUUUUCCGUGCCGACGUAGCCCAGACUGCAUGAAAAUCGCGUAAAGUUCGCAGUGAUCGAAAUUUUUCGACCCACUCGAAUACGAAGUAGCGGGGGAGAAAAUAGAGAAUACUUUCGUCGGGACAGUUUGCAAGCCUGCUACCACGUACUAGGAAAUAUCUAGGGAAUUCGACAUUUUCGUUUCAAUUCUGACGUUCUUCGAGCUUGCCACGCUUACCCGAGACUUUGAGUUUGAUCGAAUUCGUCGCUGAAAGGGGGAAGGAAGUUUCCGGGAACGUUGAAGAAGAAAACGGCGUCGGGGAAAAAUGGGCCAACUGUCGUUUUAUUAAAAUUCCCUGUUUUCGAAGGAUUUUAGUUGCGACGCGCAGCUUACAUAAAGAUCUUUCGGUUUCAUUGUACCACGAGUCGAACUUAAAAACUUGUCGGUUUAAAAGCUUAUUAAUUUUUAAUAUAAAAAAAUCGGUUUAUAUUCUUUGCGGAGAAAAUGAUAUUAAGAUGGUCGUUUUUUUUUUU
This is a non-coding RNA of Osmia lignaria (orchard mason bee), 3825 nucleotides long. NCBI's taxonomy places the organism in Eukaryota, Metazoa, Arthropoda, Insecta, Hymenoptera, Megachilidae. The record is from RefSeq and is a predicted model, not a curated record.